This 636-nucleotide ribosomal RNA is filed under the name Vibrio sp. QHL_53. Its description in RNAcentral is "bacterial SSU rRNA". It matches the Rfam family "Bacterial small subunit ribosomal RNA", at positions 94 to 726 of the family's 1533-position model. The record is from RNAcentral. Lineage: Bacteria; Pseudomonadati; Pseudomonadota; Gammaproteobacteria; Vibrionales; Vibrionaceae.
AGCGGCGGACGGGUGAGUAAUGCCUGGGAAAUUGCCCUGAUGUGGGGGAUAACCAUUGGAAACGAUGGCUAAUACCGCAUGAUGCCUACGGGCCAAAGAGGGGGACCUUCGGGCCUCUCGCGUCAGGAUAUGCCCAGGUGGGAUUAGCUAGUUGGUGAGGUAAUGGCUCACCAAGGCGACGAUCCCUAGCUGGUCUGAGAGGAUGAUCAGCCACACUGGAACUGAGACACGGUCCAGACUCCUACGGGAGGCAGCAGUGGGGAAUAUUGCACAAUGGGCGCAAGCCUGAUGCAGCCAUGCCGCGUGUAUGAAGAAGGCCUUCGGGUUGUAAAGUACUUUCAGUCGUGAGGAAGGGGGUAUCGUUAAUAGCGGUAUUCUUUGACGUUAGCGACAGAAGAAGCACCGGCUAACUCCGUGCCAGCAGCCGCGGUAAUACGGAGGGUGCGAGCGUUAAUCGGAAUUACUGGGCGUAAAGCGCAUGCAGGUGGUUUGUUAAGUCAGAUGUGAAAGCCCGGGGCUCAACCUCGGAGUUGCAUUUGAAACUGGCAGGCUAGAGUACUGUAGAGGGGGGUAGAAUUUCAGGUGUAGCGGUGAAAUGCGUAGAGAUCUGAAGGAAUACCGGUGGCGAAGGCGGCC